RNAcentral lists this ribosomal RNA (1029 nucleotides) under Kirschsteiniothelia emarceis. RNAcentral describes it as "partial 18S ribosomal RNA". The stretch from base 1 to 544 matches the Rfam family "Eukaryotic small subunit ribosomal RNA", at positions 47 to 605 of the family's 1831-position model. Lineage: Eukaryota; Fungi; Ascomycota; Dothideomycetes; Kirschsteiniotheliales; Kirschsteiniotheliaceae. The record is from RNAcentral.
AAAAAUGCAAGACUAAGUACAGCAUUGUACCGUGAAACUGCGAACGGCUCAUUAAAUCAGUUAUCGUUUAUUUGAUAGUACCCUACUACAUGGAUAACCGUGGUAAUUCUAGAGCUAAUACAUGCUAAGGCCCCGACUGCGGAAGGGGUGUAUUUAUUAGAUAAAAAACCAAUGCCCUCCGGGGCUCCUUGGUGAUUCAUGAUAACUCAACGGAUCGCAGGGCCUUGCGCCGGCGAUGGUUCAUUCAAAUUUCUGCCCUAUCAACUUUCGAUGGUAGGAUCGGGGCCUACCAUGGUAUCAACGGGUAACGGGGAAUUAGGGUUCGAUUCCGGAGAGGGGGCCUGAGGAACGGCCACCACAUCCAAGGAAGGCAGCAGGCGCGCAAAUUACCCAAUCCCGACUCGGGGAGGUAGUGACAAUAAAUACUGAUACAGGGCUCUUUUGGGUCUUGUAAUUGGAAUGAGUACAAUUUAAACCCCUUAACGAGGAACAAUUGGAGGGCAAGUCUGGUCGGCAGCUGCUGGUGCCAGCAAAAGCGUGGGGGGCCCCUCGAGGGGGGGGGGGCCUCUUGCCCAAUUCAACACGCUAGUCAAGCGCCCGUCUUCGGCGGGAGGGCGCCGGCGAGACAACCUAAAUCGGGGGAGGCUGUCGUGGCUUCGGCCGCAAGCUGAUCCCAAGCGGCUCCGUUGGGUCUCCCAGCGAAGGUCGUGUAAAGCCCGCUAAGGUGUCGGUCGUCCCUCGCCGCUCUGGCGAGGGGGGGCUUAAGGUACGGGCCAAACCCCCAUGAAAAUGGGGCCCCGAAGGCCGAGCGCCCGCCGCGUAAAGCCUGGGAAUUCGGAUCCGGGGGCCCUCCUCAUGGGGCCUCAUGGAAUGAGCGUGCCUCGUUCGGGGCACGUUCUUCGGGGGUGCUAACAUAGUGCCAGCAGCCGCGGUAAUUCCAGCUCAAUAGCGUUAUAAAGUGUGCAGUAAAGCUCGUAGUUGACUGGCUGCUGCGUCCGCUAACGCGUGCACUGAUCGCCGGCCUUCUCG